UUCUUUGUUUUGUUUAAAUGAUUCAUAGAAGUUUUCCAGUGCAGAUGAGGUGGUAUUGUUUCCUGUUAUUGAGGUGGGAUGUGAAAUGAUUUCUCUCUCUCUCUCUCUCUCUCUUUUUUAAUAAAUGUUUGUAAGUUUUUAAUGUGGAUUAAACUCCCUCAAUAUUUUUAUGGAGAAAAAAUUAAAGAAGUUAUUAACAUUGGAAAAUAGGCUAUCUCGAUUACACAGUUACUUUUUCCCAAUGGUUUUCUUAAUAUUUAUGUAUUAACAUCAUAAUGACUCAAUACAAUUUAUACAAUAUGGAGCCAUUAUUGUGAAAAAAAAGACCCAUUAAAAUAAUAUCUCCAUCCUACAGACAGACCCAAAACAUCCUAAUGGCUCAGGGGGAGCCAAAUGCGGGAUUACAUGAUAGUCCAGAAGCUAUGUCAUGGUCUACCAGGCCAGCUUUCAGGAGAAAUGAAUAUAUGUGACAUACUUGAUGGUCAUCAUCCUCCAAGAUGGCCCCAGGGAUGUCUGCUCCCCCGGCAUUCCUACACCAUGUAGUCCCUCCCACGUUGUAUGAAGAUCACUCAUUCCGUGGAAAGCCAGCUGCUAUGUCUUGAGGUCAUUCAUGCCACCUAUGAAGAGACACAUGCGGUGAAGAAGACAGACCUCUGGACAACAACCAGUGAGGAACUGACGCCUGCCAACAACCACAUGAGUGAGCUUUGAAACGGAUUUUCUACCCCCAGUCAAGGCUUGAUGUGACUGCAGCUGUUAGGACAGCUUGACUGCAGCCUAGGAGACCAUGAGUUAGAACCACCCAGCUACAGCACUUCCCAUUUCCUGUGCCUUAGAAACUGUGAGAGACAAUAAAUGUUUGUUGUUUCAAA
Felis catus (domestic cat) is the source of this 872-nucleotide long non-coding RNA. RefSeq lists it as uncharacterized. Lineage: Eukaryota; Metazoa; Chordata; Mammalia; Carnivora; Felidae. The transcript has 3 exons. The record is from RefSeq and is a predicted model, not a curated record.